AUUGAACGCUGGCGGUAGGCCUAACACAUGCAAGUCGAACGCGAAAGUCCUUCGGGAUGAGUAGAGUGGCGGACGGGUGAGUAACGCGUAGGAAUCUAUCCUGUAGUGGGGGAUAACGUUCGGAAACGGACGCUAAUACCGCAUACGUCCUACGGGAGAAAGCAGGGGACCUUCGGGCCUUGCGCUAUCAGAUGAGCCUAGGUCGGAUUAGCUAGUUGGUGAGGUAAUGGCUCACCAAGGCGACGAUCCGUAACUGGUCUGAGAGGAUGAUCAGUCACACUGGAACUGAGACACGGUCCAGACUCCUACGGGUGGCUG
Molecule: ribosomal RNA, 318 nt
Filed under: uncultured Pseudomonadota bacterium
Lineage: Bacteria; Pseudomonadati; Pseudomonadota
Description: bacterial SSU rRNA
Rfam family: Bacterial small subunit ribosomal RNA
Source: RNAcentral